This 863-nucleotide long non-coding RNA is filed under the name Acyrthosiphon pisum (pea aphid). RNAcentral describes it as "uncharacterized LOC100574354, transcript variant X2". Lineage: Eukaryota; Metazoa; Arthropoda; Insecta; Hemiptera; Aphididae. The record is from RNAcentral.
UUUAUAGUUUACUUUUAAAUUUGUAUCAUUUCUUUUUCGUUGUCUAUCGACUAUUAUAAUAUAUUACUCUACAAUACAAUACGUAGCUUGGAACUUCUGAAUAAUAAUUAAUAGUAGUUUUACAUUUAAAAAACUACAAAUUAUUAUGAUCAAUAACUCAUAAGAGUAUGAAUGAAGAUACAGCACUAAAAUGUGACAAGUUUAUUUGAAAUUAAACAAGCACGUUUUCAACAAUGUCUCCAUAGGCAUUACGAAUAUCUCUGAUUUAAAAGUUGCAGAAAGGAAGAAUAAAAUAAAAAAAAAAUUACGUCCAAUGAAAAAGUUGUAACUACUAAAACAAUUUAAAGAGAUGAUGCAUUUUGUCAAGGUUUUGUGGUAAAAGAUACGACCAAAGCUGUUGUGUGAAAGAUGAAGUGUAUAGUAUACUUGUAAGGGUUACGGACUCUGCAACUCUGUAAAUAAUAUAGUAAACAAUAAAACUAAAGAAAUUGAGAAAAUUGAACAUAAUAUUGAAUUGAAUUAAAGUAUAGUACAAAAAAAUCAGGUGGAAUGCAGUACUUACUGACUACAAGUUGACUGGGGUUUGUACAUAACGCAGUAUUCAAUGACGAACAGCCAUCAACAUAUUAACAGUUCAUAUCCAAUUACACUGUGUUAAGUAUUAUAAGAACAAAACCCAUUGAAGAAAUACAUAUUAAACAACCAAAUGUUAACUUGCAGUUUCAGAAAAUUAGUUGCCACUAUUUGAUUCUCUACUUGAAUAGAGAUUAUAGAAUAAAAUAAUUUAUAAAUUAAUAAUUAUUAAAAUGUAUAUCUAUUGAAUGCAUUUGUUGAAAAAUAUAGAGUAAAGUAUGAUGGCCCUA